GAUGAACGCUAGCUACAGGCUUAACACAUGCAAGUCGAGGGGAAACGAUAUUGGAAGCUUGCUUCCGAUAGGCGUCGACCGGCGCACGGGUGAGUAACGCGUAUCCAACCUGCCCACCACUGGAGGAUAACCUUGCGAAAGUAAGACUAAUACCCAAUGACGUCCAUAGAAGACAUCUGAAAUGGAUUAAAGAUUUAUCGGUGAUGGAUGGGGAUGCGUCUGAUUAGCUUGUUGGCGGGGUAACGGCCCACCAAGGCGACGAUCAGUAGGGGUUCUGGGAGGAAGGUCCCCCACAUUGGAACCGAGACACGGUACAAACUCCUACGGGAGGCAGCGGUGAGGAAUAUUGGUCAAUGGGCGAGAGCCUGAACCAGCCAAGUAGCGUGCAGGAUGACGGCCCUAUGGGUUGUAAACUGCUUUUAUAAGGGAAUAAAGUGAGUCUCGUGAGACUUUUUGCAUGUACCUUAUGAAUAAGGACCGGCUAAUUCCGUGCCAGCCGCCGCGGUAA
RNAcentral lists this ribosomal RNA (508 nucleotides) under uncultured bacterium. Its description in RNAcentral is "partial 16S ribosomal RNA". It matches the Rfam family "Bacterial small subunit ribosomal RNA", at positions 28 to 523 of the family's 1533-position model. The record is from RNAcentral.